UGUAGCUCAGCAGCAAAGUGCCUGCCUGGCAAGCAUGAGGCCCUGAGUUUGAUUCUCAGUA
Molecule: transfer RNA, 61 nt
Filed under: Heterocephalus glaber (naked mole-rat)
Lineage: Eukaryota; Metazoa; Chordata; Mammalia; Rodentia; Bathyergidae
Rfam family: tRNA
About the family: Transfer RNA (tRNA) molecules are approximately 80 nucleotides in length. Their secondary structure includes four short double-helical elements and three loops (D, anti-codon, and T loops).
Source: Rfam by way of RNAcentral